CAGGAGCAAAUUCGCAGAAUGAAUCAGCACAACCAAAUGCAAAUGAGACAGCCUAUGAAAGUGAUGCAUCAGGUCCCAUUCUAUCUUCAGUACCCCCAGGCUUUUGCUUAUCCCUUUAAUCCUUGGUUCUACAUUCCACAAGUCAUGCAGGAUGCUCCUGUCCAAGCCAUCGUAGACAUCUUUAAGCCCACUACCCCUAAGAACGUUGAGAAAUUUGUCAUACCACAGUGGUGAACAAUUGAAACUGUUCUCAGGAAUGCCACAAUUAUUGCACCUGAUGUGACUGAAAUUUCUCUCUGAAUGUCUCUUGUCUAUUUGUCAUGUGAAGCCAUCCUACUCAAAGGUUUUGACUGCAACUUCAGAGUAGGAAAACACCGUGUUGCAAGAAAUUAUUUUCUUGACUUAGUCACUAUUUUGGAUAGCAUAUCAUCCAUUCCUUCAGCUAACUUUUCCUAGACAAUUUAUUGUCAACUUAGAAUUGCAUCAUGCCAGUAUGAA
Long non-coding RNA from Dipodomys spectabilis (banner-tailed kangaroo rat), 498 nucleotides. RefSeq lists it as uncharacterized. The record is from RefSeq and is a predicted model, not a curated record. Lineage: Eukaryota; Metazoa; Chordata; Mammalia; Rodentia; Heteromyidae. The transcript is spliced from 6 exons.